Molecule: ribosomal RNA, 508 nt
Filed under: uncultured bacterium
Lineage: Bacteria
Description: partial 16S ribosomal RNA
Rfam family: Bacterial small subunit ribosomal RNA
Source: RNAcentral
GAUGAACGCUAGCGGCAGGCUUAAUACAUGCAAGUCGAGGGGCAGCAGGUCCCGCAGCAAUGCGGGAUGCUGGCGACCGGCAAACGGGUGCGGAACACGUACAGAACCUUCCUUUAAGUGGGGAAUAGCCCGGGGAAACCCGGCUUAAUACCCCGUAACAUAAUGAAGUGGCAUCACUUUAUUAUUAUAGCAGCAAUGCGCUUGAAGAUGGCUGUGCGGCUGAUUAGGUAGUUGGCGGGGUAACGGCCCACCAAGCCUACGAUCAGGAACUGGUGUGAGAGCACGACGAGUCACACGGGCACUGAGACACGGGCCCGACUCCUACGGGAGGCAGCAGUAAGGAAUAUUGGGCAAUGGACGCAAGUCUGACCCAGCCAUGCCGCGUGGAGGAUGAAGGUCCUCUGGAUUGUAAACUUCUUUUAUCUGGGAAGAAAUCUAUUUUUUCUAAAGUAGUUGACGGUACCAGAUGAAUAAGCACCGGCUAACUCCGUGCCAGCCGCCGCAGUAA